This 636-nucleotide ribosomal RNA is filed under the name uncultured Ralstonia sp. RNAcentral's name for it is "bacterial SSU rRNA". It matches the Rfam family "Bacterial small subunit ribosomal RNA", at positions 87 to 719 of the family's 1533-position model. The record is from RNAcentral. Lineage: Bacteria; Pseudomonadati; Pseudomonadota; Betaproteobacteria; Burkholderiales; Burkholderiaceae.
GAUGGCGAGUGGCGAACGGGUGAGUAAUACAUCGGAACGUGCCCUGUAGUGGGGGAUAACUAGUCGAAAGAUUAGCUAAUACCGCAUACGACCUGAGGGUGAAAGUGGGGGACCGCAAGGCCUCAUGCUAUAGGAGCGGCCGAUGUCUGAUUAGCUAGUUGGUGAGGUAAAGGCUCACCAAGGCGACGAUCAGUAGCUGGUCUGAGAGGACGAUCAGCCACACUGGGACUGAGACACGGCCCAGACUCCUACGGGAGGCAGCAGUAGGGAAUUUUGGACAAUGGGCGAAAGCCUGAUCCAGCAAUGCCGCGUGUGUGAAGAAGGCCUUCGGGUUGUAAAGCACUUUUGUCCGGAAAGAAAUGGCUCUGGUUAAUACCUGGGGUCGAUGACGGUACCGGAAGAAUAAGGACCGGCUAACUACGUGCCAGCAGCCGCGGUAAUACGUAGGGUCCAAGCGUUAAUCGGAAUUACUGGGCGUAAAGCGUGCGCAGGCGGUUGUGCAAGACCGAUGUGAAAUCCCCGAGCUUAACUUGGGAAUUGCAUUGGUGACUGCACGGCUAGAGUGUGUCAGAGGGGGGUAGAAUUCCACGUGUAGCAGUGAAAUGCGUAGAGAUGUGGAGGAAUACCGAUGGCGAA